AAUAAACUCAUUUUUCGUUUUUUCGUGUCCAACGUUUGACCAUUUGUCUUAUUUAAAAAAUUUGUAAAAAAAUUUAAAAAAAUUAGUCACGUAUAAAGUAUUAUUUAUAUUUUAUCAUUUAGUAAUAAUAAAAAUAUUAAUCAUAAAAAAAUUUAAAUAAAACAGAUGGUCAAACGUUAGACACGGAAAA
RNAcentral lists this microRNA precursor (190 nucleotides) under Oryza brachyantha (malo sina). RNAcentral describes it as "MIR812 microRNA precursor family". It matches the Rfam family "MIR812 microRNA precursor family". Lineage: Eukaryota; Viridiplantae; Streptophyta; Magnoliopsida; Poales; Poaceae. The record is from Rfam by way of RNAcentral.